This 311-nucleotide long non-coding RNA is filed under the name Gossypium raimondii (Peruvian cotton). Its description in RNAcentral is "long non-coding RNA (GRAI_LNC010855)". The record is from RNAcentral. Lineage: Eukaryota; Viridiplantae; Streptophyta; Magnoliopsida; Malvales; Malvaceae.
CGACGGUGAUUGACGCGCGGCGGUGGCGGCUGGUGAGGCGGCGCCGGGCUAGGGGUCAGAAAACAGAAUGCCCUAGGUACGGUGCACCUAGGGUUUUUUUGUUUUUUUGUUGAAAAGUUUAGUUGGGCUACUAGGGUUUUGUAUUGGGCUAGGUUUUGGGUUUGGGUUUAAUUGGGUUGGUGUUAGGUUUUGGGUCUGCUGGAAAUGGGUUGGGUAUUGGGUUAUUUUGGGUUUGUUUAAGAUGGGUUUGUAAUGGGUAAAUUUGGGCUUGUACAGUCUUCAUUUGCUAAUUCAUUCACUUUUCUGAUCAC